Zonotrichia leucophrys gambelii is the source of this 925-nucleotide long non-coding RNA. RefSeq lists it as uncharacterized. The transcript has 3 exons. The record is from RefSeq and is a predicted model, not a curated record. Lineage: Eukaryota; Metazoa; Chordata; Aves; Passeriformes; Passerellidae.
GCGCUCCCCAGCCCCGCGGUGCCACUCACCGACUGCAGGAAGCAGAGGGUCCCCACGUAGUCGCGCUCGGUGCUGAGGAUCUCGUUGAGGACGCAGAGGCGGAGGCGCAGCUGGCGGCUUCAUGGAUAUCACGUUACAUGGAAUGAAAAAACAGCUCUUGGGUCGAGACACAGUUACAGCAGGCUGCAGUCUUGGGUCAAGGUGUGCGGUUACCAUGGCUCUCGUGAUGCCCUGCGGUAGCACUUUCUGCAUCCUCAUCAGCGACAAGCGUUCCCUCACUCCGAGUCAGGCUGAAACACCGUGGUCCAAAAGGGGAGAGAAGAUGUGGGAACGGCCUUGUGGCCCUGGGCUGCGGAGAGCCCUGCAAGCGCGUCUGGGACAUGGACAGCGAACCAGAAUCUCUAGAAGGUCAGAUUAGACUCUAAAUUCACUGGGUUUCUUUCAAGUUCUUUACAUUUAACCUUUCAUUUUCUUCUGAAAGUCAUUUCCAUUUAUUUACUCAUUUUGUAUCCAGUUUAUCUCUUGUUUAAAAUCAUCGAAUGGUUUUGGGUUUUUUUCUGUUUGGGGCAAGAGGCAGGCGGCAAGACUUUCUUUUAAAAUAUCCUAAUUAAAUAACAAUACACCCUGUUAGGAAAAAACACCAUCACCAAAGCUACGCCCCCACCCUGUGGCUGAGUGAGAAAGUUGUUAGCUUUAAAGCUGUUAAUUUGCUAUCUCUGUCUCCAGUGUUUUCCUCAAAAAUCCAAUAAGAAUUUCAUUUCCGUAGCAAGUGCUGAGACAGGAGCCUAUCACAGCCCAAGCAGAAUGUUUGCCGAUGCGAUGCCUCCACCGCUGGAGGACAAUUGCCUUUUUGUCACCAUGGUGUACAAGCUACAUUGCUUCAAAACACUCCUCUAGCUUUAGUGGCAGUAUUGAAAGCCUUACU